RNAcentral lists this ribosomal RNA (482 nucleotides) under uncultured bacterium. RNAcentral's name for it is "partial 16S ribosomal RNA". It matches the Rfam family "Bacterial small subunit ribosomal RNA", at positions 30 to 507 of the family's 1533-position model. The record is from RNAcentral.
AUUGAACGCUGGCGGCAUGCCUUACACAUGCAAAUCGAACGGUAACGGGCCUUCGGGUGCCGACGAGUGGCGAACGGGUGAGUAAUACAUCGGAACGUGCCCGAUCGUGGGGGAUAACGAGGCGAAAGCUUUGCUAAUACCGCAUACGAUCUACGGAUGAAAGCAGGGGACCGCAAGGCCUUGCGCGGACGGAGCGGCCGAUGGCGGAUUAGGUAGUUGGUGGGAUAAAAGCUUACCAAGCCGACGAUCUGUAGCUGGUCUGAGAGGAUGAUCAGCCACACUGGGACUGAGACACGGCCCAGACUCCUACGGGAGGCAGCAGUGGGGAAUUUUGGACAAUGGGCGCAAGCCUGAUCCAGCCAUGCCGCGUGCAGGAUGAAGGCCUUCGGGUUGUAAACUGAUUUUGUACGGAACGAAAAGCCUUCUUUUAAUACAGGAGGGUCAUGACGGUACCGUAAGAAUAAGCACCGGCUAACUACGUG